AAAAACAUAUAUGAAAACUGAAAACUCAACAAUCGUCUAUUGCUUAAAAAGGUCCAGUCUACAUAACUCACGACUCUUUGCUGUUCUGGCUCAGGAAUAGUGGAAUGAGCUCUCUGAUGACAUCAGGACCGCAGAGAGCCUUCACAUCUUACAGGACACACCUCUUCAGACUAUGACUUGACUAAAAACACAAUACAAAUUCUAGCACUUAAAUUGUACCUAUAAUGGCUCUUGUCUAUAACCAGCUGUAAAUAGGCUUAUUUAAUGAAAUUGCACUUUCUUGUUUCUUGUUCUUUUUAGUUUGUAUCCUUAUGGUUGAAAUGCACUUAUUGUAAGUCGCUUUAGAUAAAUAAGCUAAAUGACAUGUAAUGUUUCACUGCUCGAAUUGAUCGAAUUUCUGAUUAUGAGUAAUAGACAUAUACUGAUCCGCCCAUACACACACUUACACAUUUAACUUGUCUGUGAUACUUUGUCGGGCAGGGGGCAGUGUGAGGUUUUGCCUUGAUUAUUCAAUUCAAUUCAAGAUAGUUAAAAUAAUAAUAGAUAAAUAAAUCGCAUAACAAUGACAAUUGAAAUAAAG
Molecule: long non-coding RNA, 580 nt
Organism: Gasterosteus aculeatus aculeatus (three-spined stickleback)
Lineage: Eukaryota; Metazoa; Chordata; Actinopteri; Perciformes; Gasterosteidae
Source: Ensembl